AGCCCUCUCAGACAUUUCUUCCAUCUUAUGCUUGUCCCCUGUCACGAAUUUCAAUGUCGAAAUCAAGAAGGAAGGAAGGAGAAUAAAAGAAAAAGAGACAAAUAUUGCUUCUUGCAGGUACAUUUAACUCAAACAGACUUAUCACACUGCAGUACCUGGGAUACGGGGAUCACAUAAAUUUCAGGACAAGAAGAAGAUGGAAGAUGUGCUGAGGUUGCAAAACACAUUCUCUCUCUUGUAAAUAAAAUCUAUCUACCAAAAAGAAAAGAAAUGACUAUAAAGUAAAAUCUAGCCUAGGCAUGGUGGUUGAAAUAAAUUCAUGCUUACAACUGUAAGUUUUUCUUGUGGGCCAAUGACAUCGAAUAGAUACACCAAGAAAAAGAUGAGUUCCACUGUUCUUACUACAUCAUAUUGUUAGGAUUGUGAUAUAGUGAUAUAUGAUAAUGCUAGGGAGUUUGUGGAGCUCAUCAUAUAUUACUGGCACUUUGAUGAGUAAAAGGACAAGGAUGCAAACUUUAACUGUUCA
This is a long non-coding RNA of Cajanus cajan (pigeon pea), 526 nucleotides long. RefSeq lists it as uncharacterized. Lineage: Eukaryota; Viridiplantae; Streptophyta; Magnoliopsida; Fabales; Fabaceae. The record is from RefSeq and is a predicted model, not a curated record.